AAGUAACUGUUCACGCUAGUGACGGUAUUUAACCCAGAAAGCACGGCUAACUACGUGCCAGCAGCCGCGGUAAUACGUAGGUGGCAAGCGUUGUCCGGAUUUAUUGGGCGUAAAGCGAGCGCAGGCGGUUUUUUAAGUCUAAUGUGAAAGCGUUCGGCUCAACCGAAGAAGUGCAUCGGAAACUGGGAGACUUGAGUGCAGAAGAGGACAGUGGAACUCCAUGUGUAGCGGUGAAAUGCGUAGAUAUAUGGAAGAACACCAGUGGCGAAGGCGGCUGUCUGGUCUGUAACUGACGCUGAGGCUCGAAAGCAUGGGUAGCGAACAGGAUUAGAUACCCUGGUAGUCCAUACCGUAAACGAUGAAUACUAAGUGUUGGAGGGUUUCCGCCCUUCAGUGCUGCAGCUAACGCAUUAAGCAAUCCGCCUGGGGAGUACGGCCGCAAGGUUGAAACUCAAAAGAAUUGACGGGGGCCCGCACAAGCGGUGGAGCAUGUGGUUUAAUUCGAAGCUACGCGAAGAACCUUACCAGGUCUUGACAUCUUAUGCCAAUCUAAGAGAUUAGACGUUCCCUUCGGGGACAGAAUGACAGGUGGUGCAUGGUUGUCGUCAGCUCGUGUCGUGAGAUGUUGGGUUAAGUCCCGCAACGAGCGCAACCCUUAUUAUUAGUUGCCAGCAUUAAGUUGGGCACUCUGGUGAGACUGCCGGUGACAAACCGGAGGAAGGUGGGGAUGACGUCAAAUCAUCAUGCCCCUUAUGACCUGGGCUACACACGUGCUACAAUGGAUGGUACAACGAGUUGCGAAAUCGCGAGAUUAAGCUAAUCUCUUAAAACCAUUCUCAGUUCGGAUUGUAGGCUGCAACUCGCCUACAUGAAGUCGGAAUCGCUAGUAAUCGCGGAUCAGCAUGCCGCGGUGAAUACGUUCCCGGGCCUUGUACACACCGCCCGUCACACCAUGAGAGUUUGUAACACCCAAAGCCGGUGGGGUAACCUUUUAGGAACCAGCCGUCUAAGGUGGGACAGAUGAUUAGGGUGAAGUCGAACAGUCUGCAUCGCCCUGCUUCAACCCCC
This 1068-nucleotide ribosomal RNA is filed under the name Lactiplantibacillus plantarum. Its description in RNAcentral is "bacterial SSU rRNA". It matches the Rfam family "Bacterial small subunit ribosomal RNA", at positions 452 to 1533 of the family's 1533-position model. The record is from RNAcentral. Lineage: Bacteria; Bacillati; Bacillota; Bacilli; Lactobacillales; Lactobacillaceae.